UACGUAGGGGGCAAGCGUUGUCCGGAAUCAUUGGGCGUAAAGAGCGUGUAGGCGGUCCGGUAAGUCGGCUGUGAAAGUCCAGGGCUCAACCCUGGGAUGUCGGUCGAUACUGCCGGACUAGAGUUCGGAAGAGGCGAGUGGAAUUCCCGGUGUAGCGGUGAAAUGCGCAGAUAUCGGGAGGAACACCUAUGGCGAAGGCAGCUCGCUGGGACGUUACUGACGCUGAGACGCGAAAGCGUGGGGAGCAAACAGG
Molecule: ribosomal RNA, 253 nt
Filed under: uncultured bacterium
Lineage: Bacteria
Description: partial 16S ribosomal RNA
Rfam family: Bacterial small subunit ribosomal RNA
Source: RNAcentral